This is a long non-coding RNA of Humulus lupulus (European hop), 177 nucleotides long. RefSeq lists it as uncharacterized. The record is from RefSeq and is a predicted model, not a curated record. NCBI's taxonomy places the organism in Eukaryota, Viridiplantae, Streptophyta, Magnoliopsida, Rosales, Cannabaceae. The transcript has 3 exons.
GUUAGAUGUGGUUGUUGCCAUAUCAUAAGGGAAAGCAUUGGAUGCUUAUAAUAAUUGAUUUUGAUCACCAAUUGUGCUAUUUCCUGGAUUCUCUUCACAAUUUUCCACCAGAUGAAAUCAAAUCUCUCAUUUCUCGUGUCUUUCAACAUUUACGCACAAAUAAUGCGAAAACUAAGG